CUAGUUGUACGAGUUGAGACUCGUAGCAGAUAGCUCAGUAACACGUGGCCAAACUACCCUAUGGAUCCAGACAACCUCGGGAAACUGAGGCUAAUCUGGAAUAGGGCUCUCAUCCUGGAGUGGAGAGAGCCUGAAAUGCUCCGGCGCCAUAGGAUGUGGCUGCGGCCGAUUAGGUAGACGGUGGGGUAACGGCCCACCGUGCCAGUAAUCGGUACGGGUUGUGAGAGCAAGAGCCCGGAGACGGUAUCUGAGACAAGAUACCGGGCCCUACGGGGCGCAGCAGGCGCGAAACCUUUACACUGCACGCCAGUGCGAUAAGGGGACUCCAAGUGCGAGGGCAUAUAGUCCUCGCUUUUUGCGACCGUAAGGUGGUCGCGGAAUAAGUGCUGGGCAAGACCGGUGCCAGCCGCCGCGGUAAUACCGGCAGCACGAGUGAUGACCGCUGUUAUUGGGCCUAAAGCGUCCGUAGCUGGCCGCGCAAGUCUAUCGGGAAAUCUCUCCGCUUAACGGAGAGGCGUCCGGUGGAAACUGUGUGGCUUGGGACCGGAAGACCAGAGGGGUACGUCUGGGGUAGGAGUGAAAUCCCGUAAUCCUGGACGGACCACCGGUGGCGAAAGCGCCUCUGGAAGACGGAUCCGACGGUGAGGGACGAAAGCUCGGGUCACGAACCGGAUUAGAUACCCGGGUAGUCCGAGCUGUAAACGAUGUCUGCUAGGUGUGACACAGGCUACGAGCCUGUGUUGUGCCGUAGGGAAGCCGUGAAGCAGACCGCCUGGGAAGUACGUCCGCAAGGAUGAAACUUAAAGGAAUUGGCGGGGGAGCACUACAACCGGAGGAGCCUGCGGUUUAA
RNAcentral lists this ribosomal RNA (850 nucleotides) under Natrialba hulunbeirensis. RNAcentral's name for it is "bacterial SSU rRNA". It matches the Rfam family "Archaeal small subunit ribosomal RNA", at positions 54 to 905 of the family's 1478-position model. The record is from RNAcentral. Lineage: Archaea; Methanobacteriati; Methanobacteriota; Halobacteria; Halobacteriales; Natrialbaceae.